This 253-nucleotide ribosomal RNA is filed under the name uncultured bacterium. RNAcentral describes it as "partial 16S ribosomal RNA". It matches the Rfam family "Bacterial small subunit ribosomal RNA", at positions 524 to 776 of the family's 1533-position model. The record is from RNAcentral.
GACAGAGGGUGCAAACGUUGUUCGGAAUUACUGGGCGUAAAGCGCGUGUAGGCUGCUCCGCAAGUCGGGUGUGAAAGCCCUGGGCUCAACCUAGGAAGUGCACUCGAAACUGCAGAGCUGGAGUCCUGGAGAGGAAGGCGGAAUUCUCGGUGUAGAGGUGAAAUUCGUAGAUAUCGAGAGGAACACCGGUGGCGAAGGCGGCCUCUGGACAGUGACUGACGCUGAGACGGCGAAAGCGUGGGGAGCAAACAGG